ACGAUAAUAAUCAUACCGGUGGCAACGGCCAUCGAAACAAUGAUAACCAUCGUGGGGGAAAUUAUCAUGCCAAGAAUGGUAACCACUUCGGUGGUAAUCAUGGCCAAGAUAAUAGAUGUGGAAAAUUCAAGAAGAGAAGGUCACCUAGCCCGAUUUUGUCAUGCACCAAAGUCAAGUCCAGCUGGGAUAGUGAUGCCAAAGGAUGUCUCAGAAAACUCAAAGCCGGUAGUUUAAGUGAGAGCGUUUAUCAUAGAACCCGAACGAGGUUAUUACGGGUAAGUUAAUCAUAAGCUCUUGCAAAAUCUAUACCUUAUUCGAUACCGGUUCUACCUAUUCUUUUUAUCUCUCUUGCUUGCUCUCAACAUUUAAAUUUGACUCCGGAGAAAUUAGACUUUGAUUUAUCGGUUGAAACCCCG
RNAcentral lists this long non-coding RNA (416 nucleotides) under Panax ginseng (ginseng). RNAcentral's name for it is "long non-coding RNA (PGIN_LNC007316)". The record is from RNAcentral. Lineage: Eukaryota; Viridiplantae; Streptophyta; Magnoliopsida; Apiales; Araliaceae.